UCCAGGGUAGCCUAGUGGACAUGGCGUCUGCUCGGUAAGCGGAACACUGUGGGUUCGAUUCCCAUCCCUGGAC
This 73-nucleotide transfer RNA is filed under the name Cordylochernes scorpioides. RNAcentral describes it as "tRNA-Thr". It matches the Rfam family "tRNA". From Rfam's summary of the family: Transfer RNA (tRNA) molecules are approximately 80 nucleotides in length. The record is from RNAcentral. Lineage: Eukaryota; Metazoa; Arthropoda; Arachnida; Pseudoscorpiones; Chernetidae.